GGAAUGGUCCUACAUUCCUGUUGGAGGGUCCUUACCAAACACAGAUCAGAAAAACCUUGCAUUCGGUGCUGCAGCAAGUAUGGUGCAUCCUGCAACAGGUACAUACGAAUCAUCAAUUUUUUGCACACCAGUUUCCUCCUAGCUUAUAUUGACAACUUUUCACAAAAUACAUAGGGUACUCAGUGGUCAGAUCUUUGUCUGAGGCUCCAAGAUAUGCUUCUGUGAUAUCGGACAUCUUAGGAAAUCGAGUUCCUGCAGAAUAUAUGCUCGGAAAUUCACAAAAUUACAGUCCAUCAAUGCUUGGUAAGCAUUUUUCUGGUAUUUAUUCAAGUUGGUUGGUUCGGUUCUACUGUGUAAAGGUUCAGACAAGUUAGCGAAACUAUUAUAAUAUGAUGUUUCAGCAUGGAGAACACUGUGGCCUCAAGAGAGGAAACGCCAACGAUCCUUCUUCCUUUUCGGAUUAGCGUUGAUAAUCCAACUGAAUAAUGAAGGCAUACAAACAUUCUUCGAAGCCUUUUUCAGGGUGCCGAGAUGGUAGUCGCACUUUUUACCUUGUCUCAGUUGGUCUUCAGAGAAAUUCAGUGCGCUGAAGGCUACUACCUCCAUGAAGUUUUUGAUAACCACUAUUUUUCCUUGAACAGGAUGUGGCGAGGAUUUCUUGGCUCGACCCUUUCAUCCGUCGAUCUCAUACUAUUCUCAUUCUACAUGUUUGCGAUAGCUCCAAAUCAAUUGCGAAUGAACCUUGUCAGGCAUCUCCUCUCUGACCCAACUGGCUCAUCCAUGAUCAAGACCUACCUGACCUUAUAAAACCAUUUGCACCAGGCUGCAAGAACUCUUAGAAACUGUACAGUUUUGUAGUUGUACAUAAGUUAGAGAGGAUCUGGGGGGUUACUUGGCGGCGGAUCUAGGGGUUAGCAGCAAUGCUAUAAUACACUGUAAAUCUUUUAUGGUUGCUAUGGUGAUUGGAUAGAGAAGCACACCGUGUUGUGCACGAUGGAAGAAUAAUAAGAGAGAUCAGGUGAUGGUCAUGGUUCCUGCAUUGGCCAAUUUUAGGUUGCAUUUGCUGUUUCAAGGCUUCUUACAUGUCCAAUCAAUUACACCCUUAUUUUAGGUUGCUCAAUGCCAAUUUUCUUGUGGAACAAUAUUUGCAAAAGCAAAAAAGGGAAAAACAUAAUUGGAUGUGCAAGAAUAGUAUGAGGCUGUCCUUGCUCCUGCGCCAUGGCAUUUAGCUGCAAGAUGUUGGGGAAGGAGAAGACCUGUAGGAGACUAAGGUUGGAGGCAAGGGAGAGAAAGGAAGGAGGGCAGGAGGAGAGGCGGAACAACCCGUCUCCCUCCAUCUCUCUACCUUCUUCUCCUGCGCCCCUAUCCAUCGCUCGCACCACCCACUGACCGGCCGGCGGCAUCCUUAUUACCAUAACAUCACGGGACGGUGGCGCGAUGCAAGGAGGCCCACUGAGCCCGGAUGAGUACUGGGUGAUAUCGCCGCCGGCGCUGCUGCACCAGCCGGCGUCCACCAUCGUCGUGGCCAUCGACCGGGACCGGAACAGCCAACUGGCCGUGAAGUGGGUGGUGGACCACCUCCUCUCCGGCGCCUCUCAUAUCGUCCUGCUCCACGUGGCCGUCCAUUACCACACGACCCGUACGUCGUUCAUCUCCCGUACCCAUUUCGCCAGUGCAGCAGCAGCAGCUGAGCUCUGGUUUGCUUGGACAUGCGCAGAUGGGUUCGCCAUGGUUGAGACCACGCAGGGUGCGCUGGAGGCUGAAAUGAAGGAGAUCUUUGUCCCCUACAGAGGAUUCUUCAACCGGAAUGGGGUAAAUGUAAUAACAACAAUAAUGCAAAAAACAUCCAAAACGUAUCAAGAUGAUUAUAUUGUUGGUGAAAUCGUAUCGACGCUGCUGCUGCUAGCAGGUGGAAGUAUCCGAGGUAGUAUUGGAAGAGGCAGACGUGUCCAAAGCCAUUCUAGGUUACAUCACUGCAAACAAGAUCCAGAGCAUUGCGCUCGGCGGAGCCAACAGAAAUGCGUUCACCAAGUAUUCUUUUUUUUUCCCCAUCAUUUCUUUUUCGUCCAGAUUGCACCGUCUCAGCUCUCGCCUCGGGCAGGAAAUUCAAGAACGCGGACGUGCCGUCGACCCUGAUGAAGUGCGCUCCAGACUACUGCAACAUCUACGUCGUGGCCAAGGGCAAGUCCGUCAAUGUCAGGCUCGCCAAGUGCGGCGUCCCGCCGAUGCACACUGGCGCCGACAUCGCUUCGGACACCGACUCCCUCCGGGAAUCGGUGCUCUACAUGCGACGCGGCUCCAGGGGGCACCUGCCGCGGGUGACGCCUGACGCCUGGCGCUCCAUUGACGGGCGCACACCGCCGGAGCUAUCCACGCGGCCACUGUUCCGCGAGCGCUUGCUCUCGUCAUCGGCCACCACCAAGAACUUUGUCGUCCUGCCAGGAAAGGACAACUUCGAGACGUCCUCCCGCUCGGCGAGACACGACUCGUUAGGCGGCGACCUCGACUUCGGCCCGAGCACGCGCUUCUCCUACAUAGACUUGGGCGAGAACCUCGAUAUGUCCACCACUCUCCCCGCUCUGGAACCCAUGUCACCGGCCACCGGCGUGAGUCAUACGUUCAAUUCGUACUUGUUUGAUUUCUUGCUAUCCACCCUUGUCCCUUGCUGCUGACGGCUGACCUACGACAUGUGGCGCGGAUGCAGGCGCAGCGGGAUACCGAGGCCGAGAUGCGGCGGCUCCGGUUGGAGCUCAAGCAGACCAUGGACAUGUACAACGCGGCGUGCAAGGAGGCCAUCAACGCCAAGCAGCGGGCCAAGGAGAUGCAUAUGAUGAAGCUGGAGGAAGCGCGUCGGCUGGAGGAGGCCAGGAACGCCGAGGAGGCUGCUCUGGCAGUGGCCGAGAUGGAGAAGGCCAAGUGCCGCGCGGCCAUGGAGGCCGCCGAGGCGGCGCAGAGGCUGGCUGACCUGGAGGCGCAGCGGCGCCGCAACGCCGAGGUGCGCGCGCGCCGGGAGGCCGACGAGAAGGUGCGCGCUCUGGAUGCCAUUUCCAACCACGACUUCCGGUACCGCAAGUACCACAUCGACGAGAUCGAGAUGGCCACGGAGCGCUUCUCCGACGAGCUCAAAAUCGGCGAGGGCGGCUACGGCCCCGUCUACCGCGCCUCCCUCGACCACACCCCCGUCGCCAUCAAGGUGCUCCGGCCCGACGCGCACCAGGGGAGGAAGCAGUUCCUGCAGGAGGUGGAGGUGCUCAGCUGCAUCCGCCACCCCAACAUGGUGCUCCUCCUCGGCGCAUGCCCGGAGUACGGCUGUCUCGUGUACGAGUACAUGGACCACGGCAGCCUCGAGGACCGGCUGUUCCGUCGGGGCGGCACGCCGCCGCUCGCGUGGGCCCAGCGGUUCCGGAUCGCGGCGGAGAUCGCGACGGCGCUGCUGUUCCUGCACCAAACGAAGCCGGAGCCGCUGGUGCACCGGGACCUGAAGCCGGCCAACAUCCUGCUGGACCGCAACUACGUGAGCAAGAUCAGCGACGUCGGGCUGGCACGCCUGGUGCCGCCGUCGGUGGCGGACAACGUGACGCAGUACCGGCUGACGGCGACGGCGGGCACCUUCUGCUACAUCGACCCGGAGUACCAGCAGACGGGCAAGCUGGGCGUCAAGUCGGACAUCUACUCCCUCGGCGUGCUCCUGCUGCAGGUGGUCACCGCGCGGCCACCCAUGGGGCUCACGCAUCACGUCGAGAAGGCCAUCGACGCGGGCACCUUUGAGCAGAUGCUCGACAUCACCGUCAAGGACUGGCCCGUCGAGGAGGCGCUCGGCUACGCCAAGCUCGCGCUCAAGUGCACGGAGAUGCGGCGGAGGGACCGGCCGGACCUCGCCACAGUCAUACUGCCGGAGCUCAACCGGUUAAGGAACCUCGGCCACGCGUACGAGGCACGCAUGAGCGCCGCCAGGGCCAACGGUGGAAGUGGAGAGAGUGGUGCCCAGAUCAGCGGGGACUCGACAACGGUGGGUGGUUCAUGGGAAACGGCGGACAGCUAGCGGGCGGUCCGGUGAUCGGUGUGGCCGGUGGCCCGGAUGAGUCAGUUAGAGAGCGAGCUUUUUUUUUGAUACGGGGGAGUUAAAAAAUCCAAAAAUCUUGGUGUAUGUACAGUUCUGUCUAUGAGAAAUACUAACGCGUCUUGCAGUGCUGCUGCCUGCUGCCUCAUCCUUUUGAGGGUCGUCAUCCAUGAUCCAUUUUUUUAUUCUGUUGGCCCAACCUAGAAAUUACGAUUGCGUUAUAAUCGAUCAUCCUUUUUAUUUGUCGUGGUUUAGUUAAAAAAUAAACUAACGGCGACAAAUAUUCAAGAACAUAGGUAGUAUAGAUCUAGUCUCUUAUGAGAAUUAAGUUAUGUUUGGUAGAAUAUAUCUGAGAAGCUAGUGAAAAGAAACUUCUACUUAUUAUCAUUACCUAUUCUUAGAUUAUUUUAAGAAGCAGCUGAACCUAGGACUAGAUAUUAAACCAACUCAGCUCAAUCGAGUUCGAGUUGGCUCGUUUAGCUCGUAAGCGAGAGAGAAAAAUAAUAUAUAUUUGUUAGCUAGAAGGGGAAGGUUCCAGUCAAGAUUCCGGAGACAUCGUUACUGUUAGAGGUCCGGUGCACCAGCCGAGACUAGAUCUGAGCAAGAUUCAACAAGAGCUAGUUGGAGGUUUUGGCUAUAAAUAGCCCCUUAACGAGCAUCCUCUCUUCUCCAUGUCACCAAAGACACCAAAGUGUCACCUAGCACAUCAUUCCUACGUAUUAGAGAAACACACCAAAGUGAUCUGAGUGCAUAUUCUUGUGAGAUAGAGUUUGUGCUGCUGUGUGUGCUCGUGUUCUUGUUCUUUGGUGGUGUUCUUGUGCUCUUGCUACAUUCUACUCCUCCCUCUUGUUGUUCAUUGGAGUUUUAGCUCCCAUAAACUUGUGUAUGACUGCAAGAGACUCUGAUCUGUGGAGACUGUUGGGGGCCUUCGGCUUACGAAGGUCCUCAAAAACAGGAUUUAACAGUAUUUCUGGAGUUUAAUGUGUGAACAGGCAUCUUCGGACUCAAGUCGGUAUCAUAGCAGACCAGAAUAUUACGAAGGUUGAUACAGCGCCGAAGGUGUGAGCAGGAAAGCUUCGGCAUGAUAGCAACAAAAUGAAACCGACUUAAGGAUGAAAAGGCUAUUCAGACCUCGAUAGAUUACAAUAGAAUUAUUAUCAAAUGUAAAGGGCAUGAAUGUAAUUUUGCAUAGGCUGUGUCCUGUGCCUAUAAAUAGGUGGACAGUACCCCCGUACUGUUCACGCUGAUUUGGCAUUCGCUUUUGCGUCACGCUUGUACUUUUAUCCCCUUCAAGUCGAAGGUACAUUUGUAAUUCGACGUUAUUUCUGUUUACAUAUGAUAAUAGUAUAUAAUUGUUUAUGUUGUCCUUUAUAUUUCUUACAAUUCAUCCUUCGUCACUGCAUAGUAUAUUUAUGAAGGUACGCCCUUCAUGGCCUUCGUCCGAAAACCAUUAUGUCCUAAGGGGAAUAAUGCUUCGAAGGACGAAGGACUAAAUCGAUUAACAUUUUCUAUGUUGCCUUGUUCUUAACUCAUAGCAUUUAAGAACAAGUCCCCAACAGAGAUCCUUGUGAGGAGAAAGAGGAAGAAUUAUGGCCUCAAAUUGAUCAUUGGACCACUUGGGAAGGGUUGAGUGCAACCCUCGUUCUUUGAAAAACCACAACGUGGAUGUAGGUAAGUAUUUGAGGCUUAGCCAAACCAUGGUAAAAAUCGUGGUGUCUUGUGUGCUCUACUUCUCUACGAUUUGCUCUUCCUCCCUUACUCUAAGUUCUUGAUCUUCACUUGACUGGGAACUGUGUUGGUGCCCUUGACUAUGAUUGCUUCUGUCUUCACUUUGACUGGGAUUGUGAAUUGUCCUGACAUGCCUCGGAUGAAGCCUCCUCUGAAGCCCCUGGUCAUCUCAGAGCACAUGUAGGCUUCCUCCCUUCUUUGUCGGAAUUCAUUGUCGGCUCUGAUAUAUUCAUGCAUCUUUUGGAGAAGCUUCUACAGGGUUUGAGGGGGCUUUCUAGCAAACUAUUGUGCCAUUGGGCCUAGGCGAAGUUCCUUGAUCAUGGCAUCAAUGACGAUCUCAUUUGGCACUGUUGGUGCCUGGGCUCUGAGGCGCAAGAACCUUCGGACAUAUGCAUGCAGAUAUUCUUCGUGAUCCUGUGUGCACUAGAACAAAGUUUGAGCGGUCACUGGCUUCGUCUGAAAUCUUUGAAAGCUAGUGACUAACAUAUCCAUCAAUUUCUGCAUGAUGUGAUUGUUCCUGGCAUGAGAGAAGAAUAUCAGGUUUGAGCAACACUCCUGACUGCCAUGACAAAGGAUUUUUCCAUGACAGCCAUGUUGCCCCCAUAUGUUGAUAUGAUCGCCUCGUAACUCAUCAGAAACUGCUUCGGGUCUUAGUGGCCAUCAUACAUGGGUAGAUGAGUUGGCUUGUACGAAGGUGACCAUGGGACAACCUGCAACUCUGUAGCUAUGGGGGAAGCAUCAUCAAAAGCAAUGUUAUCAUGGUGAAAAUCAUCAUACCACAUGUCAUCAUGGCUGGGGCCUUCUUGACGAAGGUCUCUUUGUCGUGGUUUGUGCCCUUGCUCAGUAUCAUGUGCAAUAUGUCGCAUUUCCUCGGUUGCUUCAUCAAUCUUCUUUUGGAGCUCAGCCAACCGAAGCAUCUUUUCCCUUCUCUUUUCCACCUAUUGAUGGAUAGCUUCCAGGUUGCUGAUUUCUUGGUCUAGCUCUUCGUCUUGUACGGAGUUGGGCUAGUGGCAUUCCUCUUCUGGCUUCAGGCCUCCCUUAGAAGGAUCCCAUCUUGAUUGGUGCCCAGGGGAGCAAGGACAACCCCUGGCGCCGUUGUCUUCUUCGGCGGUAUGACGAAGGUGCUUGCAGAAUUCUCCUGACGAAGGUGGUCGUUGAGUUCACCGGAGGUGGGCGCCAAUGUUGGUCACUUGUUUUCGAUCACUAUACAUAAUAAAAAACAAGGCAACACGAUAUUAAUAAAGAUAGAUGAUCCUCGUCUUGAAGAAGUUGUACCUUCAGGAUAACUCCUUCGGCGACGAAGUUUAAGUGUUAGGUGAAUAAAUGAACAUACAAUGAAUAUAAAAGAGUUUGAAUAUUAUAACUCAAUUAAGAUAUCUUCAUGAUAUAUUCAUCCUUUCGUAAAUUAACAUUACAAUGGUACCUUUGGCACUUGUGGAAAGAAUUACAAUGAAGGUGUCUUGGAGAGAAAAUUACACAUCAAUUGUACAGUCCACCGUCCCCCGCUUUAUGCAGGCACUGUUCAUCGAAUUAUAAAAGGCGACUUUCUCGUAGUGCAAAACUAAAAGCACAUCUGAACCUGCUUUUAGCGGCUUUCAGAUGUAGUUUUGAAAGGGAAAUGUGCCUUUGGGUCAUUUCUAAGUAUUUUGGUGAUUUAGUGUCCAACACAAGUGCUUAAGUGUUGAUCUAUGCAAAGUGGUGGACAAAGUGCAAAUCAAGUCAAAAGGUAUGUUUCUAGACUUAGUAUAUUGUUUUAUGGACUGAUGUAUUGUGUCUAAGUGCUGGAAACAGGAGAAAUCAAAUUGGAAAAGAGAUGGCCUUGUUCAGCCAAAGUAUGCUCAGUCUGGGUGCACCAGACUGUCCGGUGCGCCAUAUUGGCUCAGGCGAACUUGCUGCUCUCGGAAAGAAAUUAACGGCGUACGGCUAAAAUUCACCGGACUGUCCGGUGAGCCAACGGUCGACCGGUCCAACGGUCGGCCGCGCGAUCCGCGCGGGACACGUGGCCGAGCCAAUGACUAGUAGGGGGCACCGGACUGUCCGGUGCGCCAACGGCUCUAAGGCUGCCAACGGUCGGCUUCGCCAAAUAAGGAAGGAAAUCCGCACCGGACAGUGUCCGGUGGUGCACCGGACUGUCUGGUGCGCCAGGCGACAUAAGGCAAGAAAUGCCUUCCUGGAAUGCUCUCAACGGCUCCUAGCUGUCUUGGGGCUAUAAAAGGGACCCCUAGGCGCAUGGAGGAGUACACCAAGCAUUCUCAAAGCAUUCCUAAGCACUAAGACAUCGAUUCCGCGCUUUUGAUUCCUUGCGAUAGCAAUUAGAGCUCUAGUUGAGUUGUGAACUCAUUGAGUCGUGUUGUGAGCUCUUGUUGCGACUUGUGUGCGUGGUGUUGCUGUGAUUUCUUGUCUUGAGUGUGUGGCUCAUCCCUCACUUACUCCGUGCUUCUUUGUGAAUUUCAAGUGUAAGGGCGAGAGGCUCCAAAGUGUGGAGAUUCCUCGCAAACGGGAUAUAGUAAAGCAAGCAAAACACUGUGGUAUUCAAGUGGGUCUUUGGACCACUUGAGAUGGGUUGAGUGCAACCCUCGUCCGUUGGGACGCCACAACGUGGAGUAGGCAAGCGUUGGUCUUGGCCGAACCACGGGAUAAACCACUGUGCCAUCUCUGUGAUUGAUCUCUUAUGGUUAUUGUGUUUUGUUGAGACUCCUCUCUAGCCACUUGGCAUUAUUGUGCUAACGCCUAAUCAAGUUUUUGUGGAUUAAGUUUCAAGUUUCACAGGAUCACCUAUUCAAGACGGCGCUAAAGGGUCACAAGGGGCAGCCAAGCAAGACCAAGACAAAGGGGAAGCGCUCAUGCUUCAAGUGUGGUAAGAUUGGUCAUUUUAUCGCUAACUGCCCCGAUAAUGAUAGUGACCAGGAACAGGGGAACAAGAGGGAGAAGAAGAAGGCAUACAAAAAGGCUAAGGGCGAGGCACACCUUGGCAAAGAAUGGGACUCGGAUUGUUCGUCAUCCGACUCCGACAAUGAAGGACUCACCGCCACCGCCUUCAACAAGUCAUCUCUCUUCCCCAACGAGCAUCACACAUGCCUCAUGGCGAAGGAGAAGAAGGUAUGUACUCGAAACAAUGCCACUUAUGAUUCUUCUAGUGAUGAUGAGUCCAGUGAUGAAGAAAUAGAUUACUCUAGUUUGUUCAAGGGAUUGGAUAGAACUAAAAUAGAUAAGAUUAAUGAAUUGAUUGAUGCCUUGAAUGAAAAGGAUAGACUUUUAGAGAAACAAGAGGACCUUUUAUAUGAAGAACAUGAUAAAUUUGUAGAGGCACAAAAAUCUCAUGCUUUAGAAGUUAAACGAAAUGAAAUGCUUGCUUGUGAACUAUCUACUUGCCAUGAGACACUUUCUAGCUUAAGGAGCAUAAAUGAUGAUUUGAAAGCUAAGUUAGAAAUAGCUAGUAAAUCAACAUCUUGUGUAGAAAAUGUUGUAACUUGCAAUAGGUGUAAAGAUUUUGAUAUUGAUGCUUGUAGCAAACACCUAGCUUCAAUUUCUAAAUUAAAUGAUGAAGUGGCUAGUCUUAAUGCACAACUUAAGACUAGCAAAAGUGAAUUUGAUAAGUUAAAAUUUGCAAGGGAUGCCUACACGAUUGGUAGACACCCCUCAAUUAAGGAUGGACUUGGCUUCAAGAGGGAAGCCAAGAACUUAACAAGCCAUAAGGCUCCCAUCUCCGCCAAGGAGAAAGGGAAGGCCCCUAUGGCUAGUAGUGCUAAAAAGAUCCAUGCUUUCAUGUAUCAUGAUAGGAGAUAUUCUAGAAAUGCCUAUAGAAGUUAUGAUACUUAUGAUUCAUAUGCUAUGACUGCUUCUAGUUCCCAUGUUGUGCAUGAUAGAGAUAUGUCAAGGAGAAAUGUUGUUCAUCAUAUGCCUAGGAGAAAUGUUGUUCCUAGGAAAAUUAAUGAACCUUCUACAAUAUAUCAUGCUUGCAAUGCCUCCUUUGCUAUUUGUAGAAAGGAUAAGAAGGUAAUUGCUAGGAAAUUAGGGGCAAGAUGCAAGGGAGAUAAAACUUGCAUUUGGGUCCCUAAAACCAUUGUGACUAACCUUGUAGGACCCAACAAGAGUUGGGUACCUAAAACCCAAGCCUAAAUUUGCCUUGCAGGUUUAUGCAUCCGGGGGUUCAAGCUGGAUUAUCGACAGCGGAUGCACAAACCACAUGACGGGGGAGAAGAAGAUGUUCACCUCCUACGUCAAGAACAAGGAUCCCCAAGAUUCAAUCAUAUUCGGUGAUGGGAACCAAGGCAAGGUGAAAGGCUUAGGCAAGAUUGCAAUCUCAAAUGAGCACUCUAUUUCUAAUGUGUUUUUAGUUGAGUCACUUGGAUAUAAUUUGUUAUCUGUUAGUCAAUUAUGCAAUAUGGGAUAUAAUUGUUUAUUCACAAAUAUAGAUGUGUCUGUCUUUAGAAGGUGUGAUGGUUCACUAGCUUUUAAGGGUGUACUAGACGACGAACUUUAUUUAGUUGAUUUUGCAAAAGAGGAGGCCGGUCUAGAUGCAUGCUUAAUUGCUAAGACUUGCAUGGGCUGGCUGUGGCAUCGCCGUUUAGCACAUGUGGGGAUGAAGAACCUUCACAAGCUUCUAAAGGGAGAACACGUGAUAGGUUUAACUAACGUGCAUUUCGAAAAAGAUAGACCUUGUGCAGCUUGUCAAGCAGGUAAACAAGUGGGAGGAGUGCAUCACAGCAAGAAUGUGAUGACCACAUCAAGACCCCUGGAGCUGCUACAUAUGGACCUCUUCGGACCCGUCGCCUAUCUAAGCAUAGGAGGAAGUAAGUAUGGUCUAGUUAUUGUUGAUGACUUUUCCCGCUUCACUUGGGUGUUCUUUUUGCAGGAUAAGUCUGAAACUCAAGGGACCCUCAAACGCUUCCUAAGGAGAGCUCAAAAUGAGUUUGAGCUCAAGGUGAAGAAGAUAAGAAGCGACAACGGGUCCGAGUUCAAGAACCUUCAAGUGGAGGAGUACCUUGAGGAGGAAGGGAUCAAGCACGAGUUCUCCGCUCCCUACACACCACAACAAAAUGGUGUGGUAGAGAGGAAGAACAGGACGCUAAUCGAUAUGGCGAGGACAAUGCUUGGAGAGUUCAAGACCCCCGAGCGCUUUUGGUCAGAAGCCGUGAACACGGCUUGCCACGCCAUCAACCGGGUCUACCUUCAUCGCCUCCUCAAGAAGACUUCGUAUGAGCUACUAACCGGUAACAAACCCAAUGUUUCGUAUUUCCGAGUUUUUGGGAGUAAAUGCUACAUUCUAGUGAAGAAGGGUAGAAAUUCUAAAUUUGCUCCCAAAGCCGUAGAAGGGUUUUUGUUAGGUUAUGACUCAAAUACAAAGGCGUAUAGGGUCUUCAACAAAUCAUUGGUUGAAGUCUCUAGCGACAUUGUAUUUGAUGAGACUAAUGGCUCUCCAAGAGAGCAAGUUGUUGAUCUUGAUGAUGUAGAUGAAGAAGACGUUCCAACGGCCGCAAUGCGCACCAUGGCGAUUGGAGAUGUGAGGCCAAUGGAACAAAAGGAGCAAGAUCAACCUUCUUCCUCAACAAUGGUGCAUCCCCCAACUCAAGAAGAUGAACAGGUUCAUCAAGAGGAGGCCUGUGAUCAAGGGGGAGCACAAGAUGAUCAAUUAAUGGAGGAAGAAGCACAACCGACACCUCCAACUCAAGUCCGAGCGAUAAUUCAAAGGGAUCAUCCCGUCGACCAAAUUUUGGGUGACAUUAGCAAGGGAGUAACUACUCGAUCUCGAUUAGUUAAUUUUUGUGAGCAUUACUCCUUUGUCUCUUCUAUUGAGCCUUUCAGGGUAGAGGAGGCCUUGCUAGAUCCGGACUGGGUGUUAGCCAUGCAAGAGGAGCUCAACAACUUCAAAAGAAAUGAAGUUUGGACACUGGUGCCUCGUCCCAAGCAAAAUGUUGUGGGAACCAAGUGGGUGUUCCGCAACAAACAAGACGAGCACGGAGUGGUGACAAGGAACAAGGCACGACUUGUGGCAAAAGGUUAUGCCCAAGUCACAGGUUUGGACUUUGAGGAGACUUUUGCUCCUGUGGCUAGGCUAGAGUCCAUUCGUAUUUUGCUAGCAUAUGUCGCUCACCAUUCUUUCAGGUUGUUCCAAAUGGAUGUGAAGAGCGCUUUCCUCAACGGGCCAAUCAAGGAGGAGGUGUACGUGGAGCAACCCCCUGGCUUCGAGGAUGAGCGGUACCCCGACCACGUGUGUAAGCUUUCUAAGGCGCUCUAUGGACUUAAGCAAGCCCCAAGAGCAUGGUAUGAAUGCCUUAGAGACUUUUUAAUUGCUAAUGCUUUCAAGGUUGGGAAAGCCGAUCCAACUCUUUUUACUAAGACAUGUGAUGGUGAUCUUUUUGUAUGCCAAAUCUAUGUCGAUGACAUAAUAUUUGGUUAUACUAACCAAAAGUUUUGUGAAGAGUUUAGCAGGGUGAUGACUCAAAAGUUUGAGAUGUCAAUGAUGGGCGAGUUAAGCUAUUUCCUUGGGUUCCAAGUGAGGCAACUCAAGGAUGGGACCUUCAUCUCCCAAACGAAGUACACGCAAGACUUGAUCAAGCGUUUUGGGAUGAAGGACGCCAAGCCCGCAAAGACUCCAAUGGGAACCGACGGACACACCGACCUCAACAAAGGAGGUAAGUCCGUUGAUCAAAAGGCAUACCGGUCUAUGAUAGGGUCUUUACUUUAUUUAUGUGCUAGUAGACCGGAUAUUAUGCUUAGCGUAUGCAUGUGUGCUAGAUUUCAAUCCGAUCCAAGGGAAUAUCACUUAGUGGCGGUGAAGCGAAUUCUUAGAUAUUUAGUCGCUACGCCUUGCUUCGGGAUCUGGUAUCCAAAGGGGUCUACCUUUGACUUAAUUAGAUAUUCAGACUCCAACUAUGCUGGAUGUAAGGUCGAUAGGAAGAGUACAUCGGGGACGUGCCAAUUCUUAGGAAGGUCCCUGGUGUCUUGGAGUUCUAAGAAACAAACCUCCGUUGCCCUAUCCACCGCUGAGGCCAAGUACGUUGCCGCAGGACAGUGUUGCGCGCAACUACUUUGGAUGAGGCAAACCCUCCGGGACUUUGGCUACAAUCUGAGCAAAGUCCCACUCCUAUGUGAUAAUGAGAGUGCUAUCUGCAUGACGGAUAAUCCUGUUGAACACAGCCGCACAAAGCACAUAGACAUCCGGCAUCACUUUUUGAGAGACCACCAGCAAAAGGGAGAUAUCGAAGUGUUUCAUGUUAGCUCCGAGAACCAGCUAGCCGAUAUCUUUACCAAGCCUUUAGAUGAGCAGACCUUUUGCAAGUUGCGUAGUGAGCUAAAUGUCUUAGAUUCGUGGAACUUGGAUUGAUUUAUAGCAUACAUGUGUUUUAUGCCUUGAUCAUGUUCCUUAAGCAUUUUGUUGUUUAUUUAUGGUGCUCAAGUUGCACAAACACUCCCCGGACCUCACAAGUCCACUUGCAAGUGAUGCACAUAUUUAGGGGGAGAUGUGUUACAACUUGACCCCUUGAGACUAACCAUGUGCUUGAGUUUGCUUGAUUUAGUCUCGAAGGAGGAUUGAAUGGGAAAAGGUGGACUUGGACCAUGCAAGACUUCCACUGACCCCUUGAGACUAACCAUGUGCUUGAGUUUGCUUGAUUUAGUCUCGAAGGAGGAUUGAAAGGGAAAAGGUGGACUUGGACCAUGCAAGACUUCCACUGCACUCCAAUGAAAGGGUAACCUAUUCCAAGUUCAUCUCUUAUACUCUCAUUGCCUUCUUACUCUUAGUUGAAGAUUUUGGUGAGGCAAUGGGGUUAGAGGGCCAAGAUUGAUCCCGUUUUGGUGCUUGAUGCCAAAGGGGGAGAAAAUAAGGCCAAAGCAAUAAAUGGAUCAGCUAUCACUUGAGAAAUUUUUGAAAAUAGUAGAAUAGAGCUUUUUGAUUUGUCAAAACUCUCUUGUUGUCUCUUUUGUCAAAAGUUGGUCUCUUGUGGGGAGAAGGCUUAAUCAUGGGAAAAAGGGGGAGUUUUUGAAUCCUUGAUCAAUUUCUCGUGAAACAACUCUCAUUAUGGUUCAACAUGUGUGUUUGACUUAGAGAUAGGAAAUUGAGUUUGAUUUGCAAAAACAAACCAAGUGGUGGCAAAGAGUGACCCAUAUAUGUCAAAUUUGAAUCAAAACAAUUUUGAGUUCUUAUUUGAAUUGAUUUUGCACUUGUUCUACUUGCUUUAUGUUGUGUUGGCAUAAAUCACCAAAAAGGGGGAGAUUGAAAGGGAAAUGUGUCUUUGGGUCAUUUCUAAGUAUUUUGGUGAUUUAGUGUCCAACACAAGUGCCUAAGUGUUGAUCUAUGCAAAGUGGUGGACAAAGUGCAAAUCAAGUCAAAAGGUAUGUUUCUAGACUUAGUACAUUGUUUUAUGGACUGAUGUAUUGUGUCUAAGUGCUGGAAACAGGAGAAAUCAUAUUGGAAAAGAGAUGGCCUUGUUCAGCCAAAGUAUGCUCAGUCUGGGUGCACCGGACUGUCCGGUGGUGCACCGGACAGUGUCCGGUGCGCCAUACUGGCUCAGACGAACUUGCUGCUCUCGGGAAGAAAUUAACGGCGUACGGCUAAAAUUCACCGGACUGUCUGGUGUGCACCGGACUGUCCGGUGAGCCAACGGUCGGCCGCGCGAUCCGCGCGGGACACGUGGCCGAGCCAACGGCUAGUAGGGGGCACCGGACUGUCCGGGGUGCACCGGACAACGGCUCUAAGGCUGCCAACGGUCGGCUUCGCCAAAUAAGGAAGGAAAUCCGCACCGGACUGUCCGGUGCGCCAGGCGACAGAAGGCAAGAAAUGCCUUCCUGGAAUGCUCUCAACGGCUCCUAGCUGUCUUGAGGCUAUAAAAGGGACCCCUAGACGCAUGGAGGAGUACACCAAGCAUUCUCAAAGCAUUCCUAAGCACUAAGACAUCGAUUCCGCGCUUUUGAUUCCUUGCGAUAACAAUUAGAGCUCUAGUUGAGUUGUGAACUCAUUGAGUCGUGUUGUGAGCUCUUGUUGCGACUUGUGUGCGUGGUGUUGCUGUGAUUUCUUGUCUUGAGUGUGUGGCUCAUCCCUCCCUUACUCUGUGUUUCUUUGUGAAUUUCAAGUGUAAGGGCGAGAGGCUCCAAAGUGUGGAGAUUCCUCGCAAACGGGAUAUAGUAAAGCAAGCAAAACACUGUGGUAUUCAAGUGGGUCUUUGGACCACUUGAGAGGGGUUGAGUGCAACCCUCGUCCGUUGGGAUGCCACAACGUGGAGUAGGCAAGCGUUGGUCUUGGCCGAACCACGGGAUAAACCACUGUGCCAUCUCUGUGAUUGAUCUCUUGUGGUUAUUGUGUUUUGUUGAGACUCCUCUCUAGCCACUUGACAUUAUUGUGCUAACGCCUAAUCAAGUUUUUGUGGAUUAAGUUUCAAGUUUCACAGGAUCACCUAUUCACCCCCUCUAGGUGCUCUCAAGUUUGUAUGUGUAUCUAUAUUCAUUAUCAUUUGAUUGAAUAUGGACAGAAAAAAGGCUUAGAAAGAACUAUAUUUUGGAAGAGAGAAAUUAUUUAAUAUGGUCUUAGAAUUUACUUGAUUUAUUUAAAUAAAAUAUAGAUGAAGCUUAUAUGUACUCACUCUAUAUGUAAAAGAAUACAGUUCUCGCAUUUCGAAAAACUAACUAAUCAGGUUUAAAUUGAAUAAAGUUACAAGUACAAUAAAAAAGCAUGGUACAAAAUAAAUCUUAUUAAAUUACUUGCAUAAUAUAUUUUUAAUAAAUUACUUUAUAUGCAUAAAUAUAUUAAUUAGUCAUAAUAAACCUAGUUAAAUUUAAACUGGUUUAGCUAACACGGAUACCACGCAUCUGUAUUGUUUCAGGGACUUCAACGAGCAAGUAGAGACAUAGGGGUUGUUUGGUUCAGCUUUUUUCUGACCAGCUUUUCUGAAAAUCUGGCUGUGGGGAGAAUCUGGCUGUAGGGAGAAUCUGAGUAUCAUUACGAUUACGUGUGGAGGAAGAUAAAGUUGUUCAUAGAGCUCAGGAUCUAGAAAGUGACGGAUUCCUACUAUUACAACGACUCAACCGAUUAUGUGUUUAUGUUGAUUUUAGAUGGUUUUUGUCCUAACGAAUUUUAUAAAAGCUGGCUGAAAAGCUGAGCGUUUGACAGUCUGCAGCAGCUUUUGGUGGCCAGAAGCUGGCAGAAGCUGAAACAAACAGGCACAUAGGGCCUGUUUGGUUCAGCUUUUUUCUGACCAGCUUUUCUGAAAAUCUGGCUGUGGUGAGAAUCUAGCUGUGAGGAGAAUCUGAGUAUCAUUACGAUUACGUGUGGAUUAAGAUAAAGUUGUUCAUAGGACUCAGGAUCUAGAAAGUGACGAAUUCCUACUAUUACAACGACUCAACCGAUUAUGUGUUUAUGUUGAUUUUGGAUGGUUUUUGUCCUAACGAAUUUUAUAGAAGCUGACUGAAAAGCUGAGCGUUUGGCAGUCUGCAGCAGCUUUUGGUGGCCAGAAGCUGCCAGAAGCCGAAACAAACAAGGCCAUAGUAUUGUUUCAUGGACUUGAGCCGAGCGAGCAAGUAGUACGGCACUACAGUAUCCAUGUCCCACGGCACGGACGAUGAUUAGAUUCUCGUUUGCGGCCUGGCCGGCCCUACGCGCUCUGACCAGUUUCCCGGUGGGUUGAUGUGCACUGAAACUGCUGCUGCAGCGUGACGACCGGCCCGGCAGCUCAUCAAUUCAAUACUGGCGCUCUGGCAGUGGCAGUGGCAGUGGCAGUGGCAGCUCAGAUUUGCCGAAGCCCAAAACGAAACCAGACGACCAGACCCAGUCCCCCAAAACGUCGCAGGCAACACAACAACAAAAGGUUUGGCAAUCCUCGCAUUCCAAGUCGGAUUCUCGGAGACUCGGACACGAGCUUGCUUGCCGCGACAGCCACACGCGGUGCAGCUUGCUGCCAUGGCUCAUCGGCCUCUUGGACUGCUCCACCUGCGCAGACAUAUCCGUGGCUCAUUUUGGCUUUGAAAAAUAAUCAUUUGUUUUAGGAGGGCUGACUUCAUUCGACGUUCCAAACGUACCCUAAAUUAGUUCGAUGGUUAGAAGCACGGGAGCAGAUCGAACACCGUUACACCGCCCCUUCAUUAUUGGAGAAAGCAAAUCAGGAGUACCUCGCUGCUGCUGCUUCGUCGGAGAUCAUAGAUAGAUGCCGGAAACCGAAAUCCCAUGAGGCGGCAGCACCUGCGCCACGGCGGACAAAACAAACUCCAAGUCACAUAAUGUGCAAUGUAUGUAUACCUAACCACUAAAUCCCGGAAAAAGGCUGUGUUGACGGCGCCGGCGCGGAGAACCGGCAACAAGUAGCACCUGUUUUUGCGCUGCUACAGUAGAGAGAAAUGUGAGGUCAUGUAUGUAUAUCUUCUUUGGUCAGUAUUAUUAUUAUUGACAAAAUCUGUACUAACUAUUAAGGAGCUAUUGUAGACUGCCCCGCCGCACUCAAUGCCCCCGCUACCGCACGACUGCUAGCCCCCGCGAAACCCGCCGCAGCCGAACGCCCCCACGCCCGCCUCCACCGCCGCACAUCUCGCACGCCCGCACGCCCGCUGCCGCGAAACCCUCCGCUACCGCACCGCCCACACGCCACGAAAUCCGCCGCCGCCCGCGCAUCUCGCACGCCCUCAAGCCUGCACACCCGUUGCCGCGAAACCCUCCGUCUCCCCUCUGCGCGUGGCACUUCCCCCUGAGACGCAGCGAUAGAGUGACCAACAAAAGGCGAAGACGCCUGCGAUGCCGUCACAGGAGGGCCUCCAAACGGGGAAGGGCCUGGGACACCACCCGGGGGGGGACACCUAACGGCGGCGACGGCUGAGACGACGCAGCUGGAGACCCUCCGAACGGUGCGGCGGCGCCCGCACGAACGACGGUGUGGGCAGGCUGCCAGGGAAGGCGGGACGGGCAACAGACGGUGGAGUGCCCGGACGCGCGGCUAAGGUGGGCGGCGCGGCCGCGCCGUGAGAGAUCUUAAGGUUGACGAAGCACCGGAGAGAGCCCCCACCCCAGAGCCUGGUGGCCCCUGGCUUGAGCCUUGCGCGGUAGGGUUUGCGCGGCGAACGACGACGGCCGCUGCAGAGACGACGCCAUGGAUCGCAGCGAGAUCGAGAUCUGGCGCGCGGUGGCAGGCGGCCAGGCGGGGGAGGAAAAGCGGUCGGGUGCUCUGCUCCUGUUACAACAUGGAUCGUUUCGUGCGCUGUCGGGUCUGGCCCGCCUACUCUGCCCCGCGAGCAAGCCGCCGCCACCUCCCUUCACCCUUCGCUUCUAGCAUCGGCGUAUUAGCGACCGAAAGCUUGUCUCUUCUACCCUCCUCCGACUUCUGGGACCACCAAAUGGACCUCCUUGACGGCGUGGAGCCACCCCGUUGAUCUACGUGUGCGCUGUCUCUGAGGCUUCUUCAGCGCCGAGGACGAUAGGUACUGCAGCGUUUCUGGCUUAUUGUUUUUUAUUGCUAUGGUUUCUAGCUUCCAGUGGAGACUUAUGCUGAAUGUAUUAAUAUUUCUAGCAUGGCAAGAAAUGUUUCUUAAUGGUUGCUAAAUCAAUGGGAAACGAAAGGUCAAUGUUGCAUCUUCUGUAUUAGCUGAAUUGAUACUAACAAUCACUCAUUUAUUCAGAACUUCUGUUGGUAAUAUUAUAUGAGUAAUUGUUUGCUAACUGCUCUGACCUUGGCGACGACGUGCUCCUCGUUGACCUCUACUCGCUGCUUGCCCACAACUAUGUCGAGGACGACGAUAACAUGUUCCACUUUCAACUACUCCUUGGGCUUCCUUCGCUAGGCGCUCAAGCCACUGUCCUUCAUCCAAGCCUGGCACAUCGACGUCCAUUGAGAUAUUUCAUUCUUUUUAUUACAUGAUCUUACAUUGUUUCUGGACAACACUACAUAGAUUUCGUGAAGAUAUAGGAUGGUUGCAAAGAACUCGACAUUACUUUGUUCCGUUGAUGGGACAAGUUGCUUCAAGGAGAUUUUGCAUGAGAUCAAGUGAAUUUUUUGUGCCCGUCUUUAGUGAACUCUGACAAAACAAACCAACCUAUCUUUGUGAUGGUUUUUACUGUCUUGUAGCCCCAUAGCCUCAUUGCCUCAUUUGAUCUAAACAGCUAUCAUGAUCUAUGUUGUUCGUUGUCUUUUUGCUAAGGUGAAGUGGAAAAGUAUCUUUUGGUCGUAGCUAGGAGCACAAGGUUGUCAUAAUCAUCAAAUAAGGUUUCAAGUAUAUCUUCACGAAAACAUUAUGUUUUUUCAUGUACUAAACUUAGAGCAGAAAAAUGUGAGGUAAUUGAUUUCCUUCGACACUCACAUAGUUCUCAUUACACAAGUAUCAGUUUUUAACUUGAUUCGUUGGUGUACCCCUUUACCUAAAACAUUGCUUGUUGAUAUUAUCGGGAUGGUCUCAAUUUUACAAGAACUAAGCUGAUUGUAGAUGAUAGUGCUGAAUUUCUAGAUGCAGUUUAACUCAUUGAUGAUAGUCUUGUUGAAAGUUUCCUUUCUUCUGUACAUAGAGCCAUUCUGGUUUGUGAUUGAACUGGUGCACAUGUUUACUUGCGAGCUUGUUGGAUUCUAUAUGACAUUUCUUUUUUACUUUGCAUUAGAUAGCUUGAGAUGGACAAUCAGUAUCCUUGGUUCUUGGUUACUGGUAUUUGGUAGAGAUGCCUCUGCUUAUCUAAGGAGCAUAUUGUCAGAAUUAUAUGAAUUUAAAAUGUUUCCUUGUUUUGCUUAAUUGGUCUAGAUAUUAAAAAGACCAAUAAUUGGACCAUGCAACAGAACCAUAAAUAUGAUCACAGGGCCAUACAAACUCAUUCGACAGUGUGAAGUGACUGCAAUUCUUAUAUUGUACGAGCUGCCAAGGUGAUUUCUUUCUUAUUAUUUAACACACUAAUUACAAUUGAUUUAGUUUCCCUUCGACGAACAUUGAUUCUACUACCAAUCCGUCAGAAUGCUUGCACGUUUUAAUUUUCAUUUAUUUAAUUGCAUGUAGGCUGCUAACUGGCUCGAUUCUAGCUCAUGAGAUGGUGCAUGCUUACCUCCGACUUACAGGUAUUCUGGUUGUGCUUGUUUAUCUUCGUCUGCAACUUCCACUUCAUUCUUCGAUACCAUUAUAUGUUUGCAGUACAACAAUAUUUACUAUCUUAAUGUCUUUUUUAGGGGUAGGAUACUGAACCCUAAGUCCAGAGGUUGAAGAAGGUAACUCUCAGGUUCUAGCUCAUCUUUGGCUUGAGUCAGAAAUCACAUUAGGUUCUGGUAGCAUGUCAACAACCUCAGAUGCGUCGUCGUCAUCUUCUACAUCUUCCUCAAUGAAAAAGGGUGCAAAGACGGAAUUCGAAAAAAGACUUGGCGAGUUCUUCAAGCACCAAAUCGAAACAGAUUCUUCUGUGGCUUAUGGAGAUGGGUUUCGAGCACUACACGUUGUAAGCAUGUGGUCGACCCUAUUCGACUGCUUGCAUCUGUCAAUUCUGAUCGCAAUGGCGCAACUAUAAGACGAGGUUGUUGUCCAGUUUGCCUUUUCUCAGUUCAAGAAGAUCCUUCCCAAUGCAGUUAAACAUCAUGUGAACUUAUAUAACCAUCGUUAUCUUUACCAAAUUCUUUUUCAUUUUGUUUAAAAGAUAAAACCAUCAGGGCUAUGGAUGCACUCCACGCUUCACAAGUUCACAUGAUGUUUAACAUGAUCAUAUCCCUUUGACCAUUAUUUUUUUCAUGCUUGCUUAAGUAUUAGCAUGUUGCCAGACAUUAGAUAUCCUUGGAAGUACUAAAUGGAGGGUGAAUAGAAGAGUUCAUGAUGUUGUUGAGACUAUCUUGAGUCAAGGUGGAGGCUUUUGCAGGGCUGGUGGACAAGGCAAAUGUGAGUUCCUGCGUAUGAUUAAUAUUUUUGGAUCUUGAUAUUUGUACUCUAUUUUCUUUCCCAUUCUGUUCAUUCCACUCGCUUACCUUUUUGAACAUAUUGUCUAUUUAUUCUUAUUUUUUAUAGAUUCCUUUGCCUGAACGAACAGAAUUAGAGGACCCUGAUGAAAUGCAGAAAUGGAAGUGGAGUUUAAAGAAGGCAAAGAAAACUAACCGUGAGCUGCAUGCUGAGAGAUGUGACAGUGAGCUCAAACUCUUGGUAUGCAGCAUAAAUAAUUACUGUUCAUUCUUGCUGAGAUACUGUGGUGCAGUUUAUAUGCUAUUGCUUUGCUGGAAUUAUACUUGUUUCUUUUCUGUAAACAUGUUGCUCGUAAAUUGAGAGAGAAGGAUGGAUUUUAUUACCCUCACAAUUUAGAUUUCCGUGGGCGUGCAUACCCUAUGCAUCCUCAUUUAAGUCACCUAGGUUCAGAUCUUUGUCGGGGUGUUCUAGAGUAUGCUGAAGGGCGGCCACUAGGAAAGUAUGGGUUGUGCUGGUUGAAGAUACACUUGGCUAACAAAUAUGGUGGUGGCAUUGAAAAGCUUUCUCACGAGGGCAAGCUAGCUUUUGUGGAGAACCAACUGUUUGAUAUAUUUGAUUCAGCAUCAAAUCCUGUUGAUGGGAACUGCUGGUGGACGAAUGUUGAGGAUCCCUUUCAGUGUUUAGCUGCAUGCAUGGACCUUUCUGAUGCCUUAAGAAGUCCAUCACCUUACCAUGCUGUCUCUCACCUGCCUAUUCAUCAGGUAUUGAUUUUUUGCAUGUCCUAGGACUGGCCUUUCACAAUAUUAUUUUUCUUGGCUUCGAAAAUGAGACAUACAAUCUAGGAUUUUAGUAUUAAUUAAUCACUUCUGGUGUGGAUAAGUUGAAGGAUAUUGUAGUCCAUUUUAGAGUUAAUGUCAUAUGCCUAGAAAGUGCAUUUGUUGAUGCUCUGAGCAACUGCAUAGCCUACAUUUCAUUUCAAUGCUAAUUUGUUGGUUAUCAUUGUUUUUGUUGUCAGGAUGGUUCAUGCAAUGGUUUACAACAUUAUGCCGCUCUUGGAAGGGACUAUGUAAGUGUGUUCAACUUUAGAAUUCUGUUCAGCUUUUCAUCCUUUUAUUAUUAUGCACCUCAUGAUGUGGUUUAGGGUUUGGUCGGGUCGUAGUUUUUCUCUUCCUUAUAAGUUUGGUUUCCUUUUGGGUCUUGGUUUUAGAUUUUUCUAUCCUACCUUCUUUGUGGAGGAUAGUUUUUUUUGUACGGGGCUCUCCCCCCAUUUUCUAAGCCUAUGGUUAGCCGAUCUUGUAUAUGGCCGUGUAAAACACAGUUUUACACUAUAGACUGCAUUGUUUAUAGAGUGAAAUUUGAAAUAGGAGAUGAGGAUGAGUAAAAUGCUAGAGAUAGCCCUAAUAUAAAGAUUACCUAGCUCUCCUAUGUGUUCGAGAAAAAACUCAUGAUGUGGUUUGAGAAGAAUUAGCACUUGUGCUUAUCUAUUGUCAUACAGUCUGAUUUCCCCAACAUGCAACAGCAUCCUGAAAAUCACAGGAGUAAAAAGGACUUAAUUUUUAGUUUCACUAUUAAUUUAUCUUUAUUUUUCUUAGUUAUAAAUAGCUGGCAUUGGAUCUUCUGUUUUCCUUUAAGAAUUCUUGAAAGCAGUAAGUGAACUGAUUUCUGCAAGAAUUUUUCAAGUGAGAGCAUUAAGUUUGUUGUCAUCCUGUUAGUUUAAGAAUUGAUAAGCAUAUUGACUGCCUUAAAAUCUUCAUAUGUGCAUGGUUGAUAUAAUGAUGAUGCUAUUCAAUGUGCUAGAGUCAGCCUUGAAAUUUGUCAAUCCAUUUUCUCCAGUAUUAUCUGGAUUGUACCUUUUGAAACCUCAGCUUACAAAGGUCUCAUUUUCUCGUGAUUUCAUGAAAUUCUAAAAUUGGUGGUAGGUUUUGUAACACAAAGGAAUUACAACUUUUGGUGUUACAACAAUAUAUAUGAUUUCCCCAUUUGCGUUAUAAUUUGAGGAACCAAACAGCACGUAAAGUGCAAUUACCCAGAUAUACACUACAGAUAAGUUGUUUCUUACACUAAUAUAUGCUCUCGUAUAGAUGGGAGCGGUUGCUGCAACCUUGUUCCCGGAGAGAAACCCGCAAAUAUCUACUCAGAAAUAGCUUCUAGGUGAGUUUCUUCCUGCUGGUUCCCUUGUUGCUCCUGUCACAACUCACAUCUCUUAUAAGCACUACAGUCCAGGGUGACUGCUUGUUAAUUUUGCGUGUUUAUUAGUUAUUGAUGUACUUUGAAUAUGUACACCUUACAAAACGUUUUUGUUUUUUUUAAUGUGACAGCAGAAGCUAUGCCUUUCAAUUAAGAAUGGUAGAAUUGGUCUAGAUGUACGUAAAUUACAAUUUGUUUUAUUUAUAUAUAUUUUUUUUCAUGUAUUACCUAACACUGUCUAUAUAUACAUAAAUUAUCAUACUGUUAUAUGUUCCCGUUGCAACGCACGAUCACACCUAGUUAAGAUGAAGCGUGGCCAACCUAGGAAAUAAAAAAAGUAGACGGUACGCUGUUUUACCCCACUGACAUGCCAGACCCCACAGCUAUAUGCUCGCGGUCACGGCUGAGUGGCUUUGACCCGGGCUGCUCCGCUCGGUUCGGGGGCCGCCAGCCCGCCACGCUAUUAUCACCGCCACUCCACUCAGCUCCGUUCAGGAGGUCAGCUGCCUGCGCCCCAGCCCCAUUCGGCCAUUCCAUUCCUUUCCGAGCCCUCACACCUGCACGCGCCCACGCACCCGCACCAAGAACCACGCGCGGGCCUGUCCCUGUCGCAGCUCACACGCGCAACGGGGGGCGCGCCGCGCAGGCGAUGGUCUCCGCCCGCCUCGUCGCGCUGGCCGCCUUCCACCUCCUCGUCCUCUUGGCCAUGGGCCCGGGCGAGGCGCGCGCGGCGGACGGCGGCGAGGUGCGCGCGCUGCUGGCGCUGGGGGCCGCGCUGGACCCGACGGGCCGCCUGCUCCCGUCGUGGGCGCCCGGCCGCGACCCCUGCGCGCCGCCGCCGUCCGGGGGCUUCGAUGGCGUCGCGUGCGACGACAGCGGCGCCGUCGCCAACGUCUCGCUUCAGGGGAAGGGGCUCGCCGGCACGCUCCCGCCCGCCGUCGCCGGGCUCCGCUCCCUCACGGGCCUCUACCUCCACUACAACGCGCUCCGCGGUGGCAUCCCGCGGGAGCUGGCGGCGCUCGCCGCGCUCACCGACCUCUACCUCGAUGUCAACAACUUCUCGGGGCCCGUCCCGCCGGAGAUCGGCGCCAUGGCAUCACUGCAAGGUACACAACUCUGCCUCUCUCGCUAGCUCAGAUUGCCAGAUCCUGCUCGUGCCGCACGCUCGCUGACUCGCAUCGCCAUGCAUGUGACCAUGCCGUAGACUUGGCUCUGCAUUGCUCCUUGGGUCGAUGAUUGGUUUGCCCCCCUGUGUUUUUAAUUCCUUGCCGGUCGACUUGCUUGGCGUUUCUCCACUCCAAGUCAAAAACUAAAAUGCGGCUUUACCUAACUACCAUACGGAGUACCCUUUGGAUUUUUUUUUCUUUCUGAAGAUGUUGCCGUCGCAACUCGCAAGUGGCAACUAAAACAGGCAACUCCUGCUGCUCAGAUUGCAACAUUGUGAACAUUUCCUUCUUUGAUUCUUUGUUGCCCCACUAUACUACUCAUUCAGUCACACCAAAUUAGUACUACCCCCAAUCAGACGGUUUGGUAAUGCUGCUGAUGUUGGUACUCCGAUCCAAAUGUUUGUAGCCACAACCGCUAGCCGGUACUACUGCUUGUCCUUGCUUUGCAUCUCCAUCUCCUGCCUGAUUCUGAAUGAAUGCUGCUGAUGUUGAUAUGUCCAUGGCGGUGCAGUGGUGCAGCUCUGCUACAACCAGCUCACUGGGAGCAUCCCCACCCAGCUGGGCAACCUCAGCAGGCUCACCGUGCUGGCCCUGCAGUCCAACCGCCUCAACGGCGCCAUCCCCGCCAGCCUCGGCGACCUGCCGCUGCUUGCGCGCCUGGAUCUCAGCUUCAACCGCCUCUUCGGCUCCAUCCCCGUCAGGCUCGCGCAGCUGCCCAGCCUUGUCGCGCUCGACGUCAGGAACAACUCACUCACUGGCAGCGUGCCCGCCGGUAAAGACUCCAUCCAUUUGUCUGCGUCGACCGAUUUUUGAGAGCGAUAAUAAAGCUGACUGGUUUCCUGCUUGCUGCGUCCCAAGAACUGGCCGCCAAGUUGCAGGCCGGCUUCCAGUACGGGAAUAACAGCGACCUGUGCGGCGCGGGGCUGCCCGCGCUCCGUCCGUGCACCCCGGCGGACCUCAUCGACCCGGACAGGCCGCAGCCCUUCAGCGCUGGCAUCGCGCCGCAGGUCAGGCCCUCCGACGGGCGCGCGCCAUCUACCAGGGCGCUCGCGGCAGUGGUCGUCGUCGCCGUGGCCCUCCUCGCGGCCACGGGGGUCGGCCUUCUCGCGCUCUCAUGGCGUCGGUGGCGCCGACAGAGGGUCGCGGGGGGAUCGCCGUCGACGGUCUCCGGCGGCCGGUGCAGCACCGAGGCUGCGCCGUCCGCGGCGAAGGCGUCGUCGGCUCGCAAGAGCGCGUCGUCGGCGCUGGCGAGCCUCGAGUACUCCAACGCCUGGGACCCGCUGGCCGACGCGCGCGGCGGGCUGGGCCUCUUCUCGCAGGACGCGCUGGCACAGAGCCUCCGCAUCAGCACGGAGGAGGUGGAGUCCGCGACGCGCUACUUCUCGGAGCUCAACCUCCUCGGGAGGCGCGGCAAGAAGGCCGGCGGCCUGGCGGGCACGUACAGGGGCACGCUCCGCGACGGCACCUCCGUGGCCGUGAAGCGGCUGGGCAAGACGUGCUGCCGCCAGGAGGAGGCCGACUUCCUGAGCGGGCUGAGGCUGCUCGCGGAGCUCCGCCACGACAAUGUGGUCGCGCUGAGGGGGUUCUGCUGCUCCAGGGCGCGCGGGGAGUGCUUCCUCGUCUACGACUUCGUGCCCAACGGCAGCCUGUCGCAGUUCCUCGACGUCGACGCCGACAACGCCGGCGGCGGCAGCGGCCGUGUCCUCCAGUGGUCCACGAGGAUCUCCAUCAUCAAGGGCAUCGCCAAAGGUAGGUACCCCGAGUGGAAAAGCACAUCCUGUCACUCUCUUGCUAUCAGUUGGUUAGCAGUGAGUGUCACUACUGAUCCCCCACUAGUGGUUUGCUGAUGCCCACAUUUUCCCCUGGAUUCACACGUACUGUGCAUACUUGUUCACAUGGUAUGCGCAUGCAAGCAUUUGGCACAUUGAUUCACUCAAUCACUGGAUGGAUAGUACAUCGAUUCAUCCGUGCUGCGCUGGUCGCUCACAUGGGUGUGCGAAACCCUGUGACUGUGCAGCAGGCAGGGACGCAGCAAUAUUCACAUUCUGAAGUCUGAACACUGUAUGCACUGAAAAGCUCUCUGCAUGACAUGUCUCAAAAACCUUUUGGUGCUACUUCUAUCAGAGUAACCGUUUCUAUCAGUGUGCUGUGAGAUACCGGUAAUUUUUAGCUCUUGCGCAACCGUCUAAAUCGUGCAUCCUUUUUUUUUUGUGUGUGUGUUCCAGGAAUUGAGUAUCUGCACAGCACAAGGACGAACAAGCCGGCCCUCGUCCACCAAAACAUCUCAGCGGACAAGGUCCUGCUGGACUACGCGUACAGGCCCCUCAUCUCCGGGUGCGGCCUGCACAAGCUCCUCGUGGACGACCUCGUCUUCUCGACGCUCAAAGCCAGCGCCGCCAUGGGGUACCUGGCGCCGGAGUACACCACCGUGGGCCGCUUCUCGGAGAAGAGCGACGUGUACGCGUUCGGGGUCAUCGUGUUCCAGGUGCUCACCGGCAAGAGCAAGGUGACGACGACGCAUGCGCAGCUGCCUGACAACGACGUCGAUGAGCUCGUCGACGGCAACCUGCAGGGGGAUAAUUACUCGGCGGCCGAGGCCGCCCAGCUGGCGAAGAUCGGCUCGGCUUGCACCAGCGAGAACCCGGACCAGAGGCCGACGAUGGCGGAGCUGCUCCAAGAACUGAGCACCGUCUGAAAUCUAAUGGAGGUCCAACAAUCAUCCGCUGUAACUGUUUCAUGCAAGAGUCACAUGCCUUUUGUAACCUAGCUACGUACGUACCCUGUCUAGGAUCACCAGUCAGUAAUCGCUGAUCUUAGAAAGAAUCUGAGCUAGUAGGCUCUACUAGUUAGCUAGUAAUCGCUGAUCUUAGGAAGCACAUGUGCCCAUGAUCAUGAGAUCUUGUAUGCUAAUGAUGUGUCGUUACCACCGCUUUUGAAAAGUGUGCAUUGUUUGGAUGUGCUCUAGUACAUGGUAGUAAUGUGAAUGCAGCCAUUUCCUGCAACACUAUUUUUUUCUUUCCUGGAGGCCUUGUGACCGCAAGGGUACCUGCAACCCUCUGUGCCAAAUUUGGCUGCAUCUCGGGCCUGGGGUGAAAUGCAUGGCUAGCACCAUCCCAGGGAGGAAGGAGCCAAGAGUCCUGGAAGGCAUGUGAGCUAUAGAUUGUUGUGUUGUCUUGUUUGUUGUUCGUGUUUGGGUCCUGGCUUGUGAUCGCGCACAGGGGGCAGUCAGGCGAUGGUAUCUGACAGAGGGUGAAAGCGCACGGGCACGGUGGUCCUAGCUGGGCUUCAUUUGCUAGAGGCCGAGAGGCGGGACAAAAUAGACUCUACCGAGCAAUAGAAUACUAAAAUUAUAGCAGUGAAGAACAAGAACGCAGCUGAUCCAAAAGAACGCCACCCAAGGUGAGGCUGCCUUGCUAUGUGACACUGCUUAUUUUGUGGGAUAGUGGAUUCUGAAAUGGGGUAUUUGGAGCUAGCAUAGCAAGGUUCAUAUGCUAGCCGCAGGUCUACAAAACCAGGUCAUGCGGCACUAGUAAUGCACUGGCGUACGUCUCUACAGAACCUAGGCAAUUUACCUAGAUAAAUUCAUAGAAUCAUGGUAAUGUAGCAACUAAAAAGCACCAAAUAAAUAAUCCCAUAGUUUGUAAAGUUGGUUGGAUAGAUCUUAUGUUCUUGUGCUCAUGCAUCCACCUAUUUGGAAUCCUAAGAGCUAAUAGUUGAUCAGCUAACACGUGUAGAAAAGAGCUCUAAGCUAGCAGUACACAUAAAUUUUUACUGGCGGUAUCAGUUACCGCGCGACAGUGAAAAUAAAUAGGUGGGGCGGGCUUAAGGAACCGUCAGUAGAAACAUAUUUCCACUUGCGGUUUACUUAACACAACCGCAAGUGGAAAGAGGUUAUUUCCACUGCUGGUUGAUAUAAAAAGAACCGUCAGUAAAAAUAACAUUUUCAUUGGCGGUUCCUUAAGCCAACCGCCAGUAGAAAUAGCUUAUUUCAACUGGCGGUUGUGUUAAGUGAAUGAUCAAUGCAAACUUAUUUCCACUGCGGUUUUUUAACACAACCGCCAGGAAGCUUUAUGUUAUAAAUACACCUUCUUCCUCUCGACAGAAACUGUAGGUCGCACCCAACUUGCAUUGGAGGCGAUUUUGGAGGUCUAGAUUUCACAUAAUACAAGGGGGCAUGUGCCACAAUUCAGUUGAAUUACCAACACAACCGUCAAACAGUGCAAAAUACCUAUGGGCACAAUACAUUACAUACACACAUUCAUCUAACUACUACAAAGCUAGUCCGUACUAGAGAGUACUCAGUACCACAAUACAUUAUAACACAAAUCAGAUUCAUCUAACUACUUCAUUACAUCCACUGAGGAACAUCACACUUACCCACACUUGUUGAAUCACAAAAUCCAAAAUAGCUCCAUUUCGGAUUCCUUUGUUAAUAAUCUAUGUACAGUUAAAAAAUUGUUAGUAAUUUGUGCAAACCCAAAUACGAAAAUGAAACAAACUUAACUUCACUAACACUACUACAUGUUGACUACAUCAACGAUACUCCAGCAGCGAUCCAAUCUCUCACUAAUGUCAUUUCUUGACGUGCAUUACCAGUCACCCAAUCUGACACAUCGUAAUCAACUUGGCCAUACGAACUACUCCCCGAUCAUUCUAUGUGGACUCGGUACAACAAAUAGUUGUGCAAAGCAAAACAAGCAAUUACAAUAUUCACUUGCCUGCUUCUUUCGUACAUUGGGAGUCCUCGUAGCACAUGCCACCUUGAUUUGAGAAGUCCAGAAGCCCGUUCAACUACAUUUCGUAGACUCGAGUGGUGGAAAUUGAACUUUUCCUCCACAACUUCUACUCCUCUUCGAUGAAAAUCUUCUAAGUGAUAUCUCUGAUUCCGAUAUGGUGGCAAGUAACCUUCGCGAAUUGCAUAACCAGCAUCCACUAGAUAAUACCUCCUUGUACACAAACAAAUAAACUCAGAAAAACAUUUACUAGAGCGUAGUGAAGACAAUAUAUGCAAUGCCAACAUAACAUGCCACCAUACAUGCUGGUGAGUGUGGAUAAUUCGCUUCUCCCAUGCAAUCUCUGAGCACUACCAUGUCGUGACAAGAACCAGCCAACCUCCCGCCUACAAAAGUGAACCGCAUAUCCAUGUCCACUACCCCUAAUACAUUGUAGCUAGGCCACUCUUUUAUGUUUUUGUAGUCCAACCUCGACUCAUGACAUACGUGAGCUGGAAUGUGUGUACCAUCUAAGGCUCCUAUGCACCCGCCAAAGAAAGAGGCAUAAGGCAUGAGCUUGUUAUGCACUUUAGAAUACGCUGGAUCCUUUGGACAUAUAUUAGUUUGUGUAAAACCAUACAUAGCAUCUGCCACAUGAGCCAUUUUCCUACUAAUGGUAUCCAAAGACCUUUCGAACUUGUCUCUAAUUUGGCGUGACACCUGUUGUGUCCCACAAGCCCAUAAGAACAUCCCUAAUGCCUCACAUGACUCCACCUCUUGUGUUGAUCUUAACCAGUGAUACCUCACUAAAGUAUCAUGCAAUUCUAUAAAAGCAUUCGAAGUCAUACGAAAGUUGUCUUCACACUUCCUAAAGUCCCUCAAAUUAUGUUCCACCCAUUGUCGUCAUGUCAUGUGCGAUAAUGGAGGGGAGGAUUAAUCAUAGGAGCAGUAGUGCAUGAACGAGAAGCGAAAGCAGCUAGAACUGUGUUGCUGCACCCGCUUGCUAGAACAUGAUGGAGCUAUCAUCACUUGUCGUGUCGUUGUGGCCUGAGUCUUCUGCACUGCUCAUCUCAGAGUUGUCUACAUUUACAACAUUCAAUUACAUUCAAAUACACUUUAGCUACAUCACAUCAAUUGCAAUCCACAAACUAGAGUUCAAACUAAACUAAACUUUACUUCAGGGUUUAGAUCACCGAGUCGCUAGAUACCAGGUAUACAAUUCUAGGUCUUGUGCUAAUCCAAAUGGACCUACAAGUAUACAAAAAUAUGUAGUCAGAACAAAUCUUUCAAAACAGAAAUGCAAUACUUAACACAAAUGUUAUAAAACUGAAGUGCACAAGCACACAAAUCAAACUGAACUGCAAUAUUACUACACUGUAGGUAUGUUGAUUGAUUACAACAACAACACAAUGUCCGCAUACAUCAAAGUGUUAUUACAAGACCACACAGACAAGCUACUUCGAAAAAUGUCUCGCGACCUUUAUUUGUUAGCGCAAUUGAACCUAAUCCAACGGAGCCAUCCCUCUUUAGUUUGCAUAGAAAGGUAAGCCCUCCUAUUUAGGUCGUUGUUGCACAACAUAAGUCCCAUGCAGUACAAAUCAGAGUCUUCUCCAAGACCAUCUCGCUUUAAAAGUCGCACAACUUUGUCAAGUUCUUGUUGUGCCCGACGUAGAGUUCUUCGGUUUCUGAUGUAAAUGGACUCAGAAAUAUUAGCAAUAUGAUCUUCCAAACUCAUCUUUUUCUUAGGAGGGCUAUCCACUGCAUCUUCCCUGAUUGACCUUUUGGACGAUGAUAUAAUAUUAGAGCAACCUACAUGGUCGUUAGAUAAGUAUGGAGUAUCCUCGCUGCCAUAGUUGGGAGAGGGCUCAUGAACACCUCCAACACUAAUCAAGUUGCCCCUGUCGUGUGUGGCUCGGCUGAACAAAGUGUACAACUCAUCAAGAAAGGGUGGUUGUUUUCCUCGAUUGGCCUAUUGAGUACUAGGAUCCUGCGUUUGAACAUAGUGCAGAUUUAGUAUUGGUCCAUAGGACAAAUAAAUUGUAAUAAAUUAUUAGCUAGUUGAGCCAGCUAAUGAACUAAUUGUUAGCCAGAGGUAAUUAACAAUUAGCUGAUGUAUUAACUGGUAUUAGCUAAGGGUGUUUGGAACCCAUCAACUAAUUGUUAGUAGCUAACUAUUAGUUUUACAGGUUCCAAAUAGGACCAUAAGAGGGCUAUCCUUAAGAUUUCUAUUUGGCUGAGCUAACGAUAAACAUGGGUCUACUUAAUACAAUAAUAUGUCAUCAGGUCGUCGGGGCAUGCCCAUAAGACCACGAUCAACAACUCCUCCUUCACGCCUUGGCUCGAUAACUUCACCAAGUGAAACACAUGUUGUGCGACCUCUCCGCUAAUUUGUGAGCGGUACAGGUGGUGCACCACUGCAGAUAGUGUCCGAUGACCUAUAGCCUACCAAAAAUACCUGUUGACAAUUGAGGUGAUGUCCUAACACGUUCCACACCCAGUUUUAGAAGGUAAACCGAAUGCGAAACAUGUACAUGCCAGGAUCAGAAAUUCACGUAUACAACGAUUACAUAAAUGACUCAUCAUAGCACAAUGCUUCGAAUACAAUAAAGAGUAAGUAAUGAUAUUACAGACUAGAGUCAUUUACAUAAUAUAAAUCAAAGUGCACAUAAUAGAAACGUAGCCAACAUAAAUAAACCCACCACAGGCAGCUGACUGGGGGAUGUCGCUAGCCUAAUCCUCGAACUCAUCAAUGUAUUGGAACUCCUGGAGAUCUACCUCGACGCCUUCUUCUUCUUCUUCUUUACCUGAGCAUAGAUCGCACCAAAGGCAAGCUGUUGUUUUAUGAAAGCAAGGGUGAGUACACAUCAACGUACUCAGCAAAUGUCCCAUUUGGCUGAGGUGGACUAGCUUUAUGUGGAGUUAGGCUGAAAGAAGUUGCUUUUAGUUGGUCAGGUAUUUAUUAUUAGUAGAAGCCAAGUUUUAGCAAUAACCAACACGUAAACCAUUUCCUCUUCAAGGAACAUCAUCAUCAUCAUCGAAGCCAAAACCAUCAAUCGAACCAUUGUAUCUUGGAUCAUAUGUAUCUCUAAUCAAAGGAGCACCCAAGGCCGCUCAUAACCGUGAGCACGACUGAUAUAUCAGUUUCUAACCCUCUUCAGAGGUUGCACACUUUACCCACGAGCCGUGAUUCCCUCUCUAGCCCGGGCUUGCAAGACCCUUGUUCACUCCUGAGGUGAAUGGCCAGGGAUUCACUAUGAAGCCUUUACAAAGAUUCUCUAAGGUUGUAGCCGCCCGUUAGGUUUCCUAAAUGUACCACACUCCUCCUCAAGGGGCAAACCACCCUCGGUAGAGCGAGCCGCAUACACCGAGCCCCAUUGACGGCACAAUAGCGAAACAAACUACACCUCAGUUCCUCUAAUUAAUUAGCUAAGGGCGUCGCAUACCACCCUCAUGGUUGCACUGUUUUCUCAGGUGGUCAUUCAACGAACAGGUCCUUACGGAGAGGCACUCGAGAAACCGCCCGAGUCUCCUAAAGUAUCACCAGUCCAACAUCAUAAUCAAGAUAUCAUCAACGUAUCAUAAAUGUUCUCAUCAUGUUCAUUGAUUAAAGUAAAGCGGUAACAUAAUACUAAUCAUAGUAACCAAUUGCCAAAGGGUAAACAAGGACAGGAAAACAGAAUACUAGUCAAUCCUUAGGUUGUUCUUAGUAUGUAGGACAGUGAAUUAUAAAGUAAAUGGGACAUAAUGGAUCAGAGGACACUUGCCUUCACCAAACAGAUGCUCAUAAUCUUCAGCCUCAUAGAACUCGAAGAGUUUGAUCUCUUGGUCGCCGAAGCAUGACCGUCGAUUCCUUGAAGCUCGGAAAUGGAUCACAGUCUAUUCGCGACGCGCAACAGGCACAAGCAAACAUAUACUUGCAUAAGAACAUUACACCAUACAAGAUAAAAUAUUAUACAAGCGAGCAAUAUAAAAUAGAGAGCACUUCAACGGUUAGGCGAGGAAAAGAACCACGAUAGCUGAAGGUACGACCGAAGGGUUAGCGUGUUUAUACUAAGCAAGUAUUAAUUAGAAUAUUUAAUUUGACGUAACAAUAUUAAUCGCUAUUUAUGAUAUAUAAAUUAAAACUACUUAGUUUUGACUAACUUACUGUUUUAAUUGUGGAUAAUUCAAUAAAUAACUAAUUAACUUACAUGAGUAAUUAUAAGCGAACGAUUUAAUAUCGCGCUCGGAUAACGCGCGGUACGCGCGAACGGCGCGCGACACACGUGAACGGCACAUGACAACGCAUGCGAACAGUACGUGCGACACUCGCGAACGACACACGACGACGCGCGAAACAACACCGCGACACGUGCACGGUACGCGCACAACACGUGUAUUGUGCGCGGGCCGACACGAUACGCGAAAACUAAUAAACAAAUAAUAUGAAUAAACUAACCAAUUAUUUAAUAGAAUAGUUCAGUUAACAUUGACUGCGCUCAUGUUGAUUUAUAAAUGCGUAAUUCAAAAUUAUAAAUUAGAUUUAAAUAAAACGUCGUUCUAUUAACCUCCGGUCAAACAAAAGUUUAAAUAAAUUAAAUAAAAUGUGCAACAGUAGGGAAAAUACUUCUAACAUGUAGAUAAUUUUAAUACGAAUUUAACGCAAUUUGAGCAGAUUGAAUCGGGUUUAAAAUGCAAAAAUUAUCAUUGUUUUAAACUAGACUGUAAUUCACGCGUACUAAAUUACGAAAUUGUCAUCUUCUUCCUCACGUUCUUCUCUCUCACGGAGGAACCUCCAUGGAGGUUGAGCAGGGGGCUCGGCCGGGGGAGGGGACCUAGACCGCCGCCGCCAGGGGGUCGGCCUCGCUGCGCAGGGCGCGCGCCCAUGGGGGUGGGGGCGCUCUUGGCGUGAGGUCGCGUGGGGACCAGUGAGGGCCGCGCCCAACGGCCAACCGGUCGGCCACGUCGUGCGGCUGCACGCCGCCGCCGGGACCACGCGCGCCCGGGCCAGGGGCAGGGCGCCGUGCCACAGGGACAGGGGAACAAGGUGCUACUCUCCCAAACCAUAGAAAUCGAAGAAAACAGAGAAGAAGAAUGGAGGAGCUCACUGGGGAAGAAGACCCUCGUCGGAGCCGAGGGGAAAUCCUUCGAUUGAUAGAGAUUCAGAGGUCCGAUCAACAAACCGUACGCGCCCAGGCGAAGCCCUCGACGAGACGAACGCAGCGGUACCCUCAGAUUCCGCAGACGAUGCAUGGAUUGGGAGUAAUUGCUCGUUGGAGUUGUUGUCGGAGUUGGAACCGCUUCCGAACUUUGGCAAGCAAUUCCGGGAGCUGGGAGUUGAAUUUGGAGAAAUCGUUUCAUGCUCUGGAACGGGCUCGACGAGGAGAAGCCAAACAUAUAUAUAUAGUAUUUAGAGCCCUGGGCUCUAUUUAACUACAGGAAGCCCCGACCAGGUGCGCAGACCGCACCGGACCCUUUUUGGCUUAUUGUACCUAACUGUGCUUACGCUAAAUUAUAAUACGAGUUAUGUUGAUGUGUGUAUCAGUUUAUGCAAAUAUAGUCUGCGCAUAUUACGUGCAUCGGGCCCACGAUCCGGCCCAUGCGUUCACAAUUAUUCAGUCCCACGCCGACACUAUAAAAACACACCCACGCCGCCAGGGAUUAGGUUUUAGCGGCGGCGGCGGUUCCCUCGGGCGUGCGAGCGGCGGUGAUCCUGGGGGCCAGCAGUGGUGUCGCCUCGAGGCAGGCGACCGACGGCGGCGCUCCACCAGGAACGAGCAACAACGACGCUCCGAGGCAGGCGGGCAAGCGGUGACGGCGCUGUCGAAGCAGACGGGCGACGGCAGCGCACCCUAGGCUCGGCGACAACGACGGUUGUCCCGUCCGUCUCUGUGAUGGCCACCGCCGCUGCCGCUCAAGCAUCUGUGGCGCCGUCCCUUGCACCCAAGGCCAACGACAGCAGGAAGGCGGUGGUGCCCGUGGACGCGUCGGAGCUGGAGAAGCACGUGCUGGCGGUGGACGACAAAUCCGUGGACCGUGUCGCGAUCGCCAGGAUCCUGUGCGGCUCCAGGUAUAGGGUGACCGCCGUGGAGUCGGCGACGCGCGCGCUGGAGUUGCUCAUGAUGGGCCUGCUCCCCGACGUCAGCAUGAUCAUCACCGACUACUGGAUGCAUGGGAUGACCGGGUAUGAGCUGCUCAAGCGCGUCAAGGAGUCGGUGGCGCUCAGGGGCAUCUUCGCCGUCAUCAUGUCGUCUAUGACCAUCGUGAUUUAUACAUUUUCAAACAAAAUUUUAUGAUAGCUCUUAUUGCAUUUUACGCUUCCACUAAAAAGCAAGUCCCACAUUCGUCGUUACAAAACAGAUCAUUGAUUUACGCUAAAAUUCGUAUCCGUUUACGCUGUUUCGGAUCACGUUUUAUGCUUAAAUCCACCUGACCUAGAACCCGAGCAUGAUCGGAGCGCGAUUUUCACGUCGUAAUUUAGGCCACAUUCGUCGUUACGAAAUAGAUUGAUGAUGUACGAUAAAAUUUGUACCCAUUUACAAUGUUUGGUUCACGUUUUACGCUGAAAUUUGACCAAGCCAAAAUCCAUGCACGAUCGAACAUGAUCAAUUUUCACGCCGUAAUUUUCGGACCCCAUUCGCUGUUACGAAACAGGUUUAUAAUUUACGUAAAUUUCGUAUUCAUUUACGCUGUUUUAGCUCACGUUUUACGCCGGAAUCUGCCCUAGCCAGAACCUGCGCACAAUUGGGUGCACGCGAUUUUCACGCCGUAAUUUUGGGCUUCGUUUGCUGUUACAAAACAGAUAUAUGAUUUACGCUAAAUUUCGUACUUAUUUACGUUGUUUUAGCUCACGUUUUAUGCUGCAAUCCGCCCGAGCAGAACCCGUGAACUGCGACUGUAAAUUAAAAUUUAUUUCCUUCUACUAAUGCUCUCAAACCGUAACUGUCCCUUUAUUUACGCGAUUAUGCAGCACAUCUUUCCUUAUAUCAAACCGGUCAAGAUUUAUAUAAUGCAUGGUUUAUGCUAUCAUAUUACACAUCGUUAUGCAGUCGUAAACGGUUUAUUUACACAUCAUUAUGCAGUCAUUAACCGCCGCCAAUAUCACAGAUACGAACGUGGACGAGCGGCUGUAAAUGAGAAUUUGUUUCCUCCCGUAACUGUGCCUUUAUUUACAUGAACGUGGAGCACGUCUUUCCUUAUCUCAAACCGGUGGAUAUUUAAAUGUUGCAUGGUUUACACUAUCAUGUUACACAACGUUAUGCAGUCAUAAACGGUGUACACAUGGUAAUAUUCGUUCUCAUGAUUCGUGGCCCAAAAGAUUCCUUCUAUGCAUGAUUUAUGCACAUUUCUACAUAUAUUUAUACGUGUGUAUAUCGCAUGUCACGUCUCAUCCAGGAUUCAUGGCUAUCAUAUGCAUGGCUGACGCAUGCUCGCGUACAGUGGGCCGACCGCGACCUGGUUGUGUCGGGGACCAUAAUUAGGGGUACCCUCAAGACGCCUAAUUCUCAGCUGGUAACCCCCAUCAGCAUAAAGCUGCAGAGGCCUGAUGGGUGCGAUUAAGUCAGGGAUCAGUCCAUACGAGCGACUCGAUCACGCCUCGCCCGAGCCUAGCCUCGGACAAGGGCAGCCGACCCCGAGGGAUUCCCGUCUCGCCCGAGGCCCCCCUUUAACGGCGGACACAUCUCCGGCUCGCCCGAGGCCUUGCCUUCGCUAAGAAGCAACCCUGACUAAAUCGCCGCACCGACCGACCGAGUCGCAGGAGCAUUUAACGCAAAGGUGGCCUGACACCUUUAUCCUGACGCGCGCCCCCCGGCAGAGCCGAAGUGACCGCCGUCACUUCGCCGCUCCACUGACCGGUCAGACAGAAGGACAGCGCCGCCUGCGCCACUCCGACUGCAGUGCCACUUGACAGAGUGAGACUGACAGGCGGUCAGGCCCUGCCAAAGGCGCCAUAGGCAACUCCGCUCCGCCCGACCCAGGGCUUUGACUCGGGCUAGGCCCCGGAAGACGGCGAACUCCGCUCCGCCCGACCCAGGGCUCGGACUCGGGCUAGGCCCCGGAAGACGGCGAACUCCGCUCCGCCCGACCUAGGGCUCGGACUUGGGCUAGGCCCCGGAAGACGGCGAACUCCGCUCCGCCCGACCCAGGGCUCGGACUCGGGCUAGGCCCCGGAAGACGGCGAACUCCGCUCCGCCCGACCCAGGGCUCGGACUCGGGCUAGGCCCCAGAAGACGGCGAACUCCGCUCCGCCCGACCCAGGGCUCGGACUCGGGCUAGGCCCCGGAAGACGGCGAACUCCGCUCCGCCCGACCCAGGGCUCGGACUCGGGCUAGGCCCCGGAAGACGGCGAACUCCGCUCCGCCCGACCCAGGGCUCGGACUCGGGCUAGGCCCCGGAAGACGACGAACUCCGCUCCGCCCGACCCAGGGCUCAGACUCGGGCUCAGCCCCAGAAGACGACGAACUCCGCUCCGCCCGACCCAGGGCUCGGACUCGGGCUAAGCCCCAGAAGACGACGAACUCCGCUUCGCCCGAUCCCAGGGCUCGGACUCUGCCCUGGCCUCUGCCGAACGACCUCCGCCUCGCCCGACCCAGGGGCUCGGGCUCGGCCUUGGCCACGGAAGACAGACUCGACCUCGGCUUCGGAGGAACCUCCACGUCGCCCGACCUAGGGCACAGGCCCGCCACGUCAACAGGAAGCGCCAUCAUCACCCUACCCCGAGCCGACUCGGGUCGCAGAGAACAAGACCGGUGUCCCAUCUGGCUAGCUCCGCCAGAUGGGCAAUGAUGGCGCCCCGCAAGCCCUGUGACGACGGCGGCUCUCAGCUCCCUUACGGAAGCAGGGGGACGUCAGCAAGGACUCGACCGCUCCGACAGCUGUCCCUCCACCAGGCUCCGUUGCUCCUCCGACAGCCACGACAUCACACCAGCAGGGUGCCAAGAUCUCUCCGGCUGCCACAUUGGCAUGUACUUAGGGCGCUAGCUCUCCCUCCGCUAGACACGUAGCACUCUGCUACAUCCCCAUUGUACACCUGGAUCCUCUCCUUACGCCUAUAAAAGGAAGGACCGGGGCCUUCUUAGAGAAGGUUGGCCGCGCGGGGACGAGGACGGGACAUGCGCUCUCUUGGGGCCGCUCGCUUCCCUCACCCGCGUGGACGCUUGUAACCCCCCUACUGCAAGCGCACCCGACCUGGGCGCGGGACGAACACGAAGGCCGCGGGAUUUCCACCUCUCUCUCGACCGUCUCUGGCCACCUCGCUUUCCCCCCUUCGCGCUCGCCCACGCGCUCGACCCAUCUGGGCUGGGGCACACGGCACACUCACUUGUCGGCUUAAGGACCCCCCGGUCUCGAAACGCCGACAGUUGGCGCGCCAGGUAGGGGCCUGCUGCGUGCUGACGAACAGCUUCCCGUCAAGCUCCAGAUGGGCAGUCUCCAGCAACCUCUCCGGCCCGGGACGGUGCUCCGUUUCGGGAGUCUUGAGUUCAUGUCCUUCGACCGCGGCUACGACAUGAUACUCCUUCCACCGCCGCGCGACAACGACAAUGGCGGCGGACAACCCGCCCGCCGGCAGCGGAAUCAACGACAUCUUCCCCGCGUGGUGGAAGAACAACAUUCGAGCUCGCCCCGUCCUCUCCCCCGCCAACGGAGGAGAAGGCGGGGCAACCAAGGCCAAGUGGGAGGUCGCGCUUCGUCGACUGUCGAGCGAAUCGACGUCCCCAGCGCCCCAACGGAAGGCACGCCGGGCGUCGACCUCGCGUUCGAGACGAAGGCGAGCGCCGUCCCCCCGCGACACGCCAAUCCUGAGCAAGUGGACGACGCCAGCGCGCUCGCGGAGAGCUUGCAGGACGUCGCCCUCGUACCUGAGACGACGGUGCAACCAGUCCCCGACGUGACUAUGCCGCUCCUCGUCGACCAAAAGGUACCGACUGAUUCCCAUCUUACGUCAUUUCGACUCGGCCUCAACCCGCCUGGCGACCUUGCUUUGGCGGGCGCUCUCGUUGAGGCGAGUGCAACCCCACUGGGGUUUCGUAUGCGGUCGCCUUGGGACCGGUUGACGGACGUCUCGACCUACGGGCCCUCUGGGUCCGAGGAAGAUGACGAUCCCAGCAUCUGUUGGGAUUUCUCCGGAUUUGGCAACCCCAGUGCCAUGCGGGACUUUAUGACCGCAUGUGACUACUGCCUCUCCGACUGUUCCGACGGUAGCCGCAGCCUUGACGACGAGGACUGCGGCCCAAGCCGCGAAUGUUUCCACGUCGAGCUAGGGGAUCCCUCCGAAGGCAACCAUCUCGGCAUGCCGGAGGACGGUGAUCUCCCCAGGCCGGUGCCUCGCGCUGACAUCCCGCGGGAGCUAGCUCACUAGAAAAACGCCUAAAUCCGGAAGUAAUCAGAAAAAGAAAUUCCAUUCUGGGAAAAAAGAGCAAUAUCGUAUUCGUCUUCAAGAAAAACAGAAAUUGCGUUUUCAUUAUGGUCUGACAGAACGUCAAUUACUUAGAUAUGUACAUAUCGCUGGAAAAGCAAAAAGAUCCACAGGUCAGGUUUUACUACAAUUACUUGAAAUGCGUUUGGAUAAUAUCCUUUUUCGAUUGGGUAUGGCUUCAACCAUUCCUGGGGCCCGACAAUUAGUUAACCAUAGACAUAUUUUAGUUAAUGGUCGUAUAGUUGAUAUACCAAGCUUUCGUUGCAAACCCCGAGAUAUUAUUACUACGAAGGAUAACCAACGAUCAAAACGUUUGGUUCAAAAUUAUAUUGCUUCAUCCGAUCCGGGCAAAUUACCAAAGCAUUUGACGGUUGACACAUUGCAAUAUAAAGGACUAGUAAAAAAAAUUCUAGAUAGGAAGUGGGUCGGUCUCAAAAUAAAUGAGUUGUUAGUUGUAGAAUAUUAUUCUCGCCAGACUUGAACUUAACGUGGUUCCCGUUCCGGCGGGGGGUCACGACCCACAGCUCGAGCAAGUCCGCGGGGCG
Molecule: long non-coding RNA, 39623 nt
Filed under: Zea mays
Lineage: Eukaryota; Viridiplantae; Streptophyta; Magnoliopsida; Poales; Poaceae
Description: long non-coding RNA (ZMAY_LNC005032)
Source: RNAcentral